RNAcentral lists this non-coding RNA (21 nucleotides) under Caenorhabditis elegans. Lineage: Eukaryota; Metazoa; Nematoda; Chromadorea; Rhabditida; Rhabditidae. The record is from RNAcentral.
UGUGUGUCUUGUUUCUUCCGA